Molecule: transfer RNA, 89 nt
Organism: Puccinia sorghi
Lineage: Eukaryota; Fungi; Basidiomycota; Pucciniomycetes; Pucciniales; Pucciniaceae
Rfam family: tRNA
About the family: Transfer RNA (tRNA) molecules are approximately 80 nucleotides in length. Their secondary structure includes four short double-helical elements and three loops (D, anti-codon, and T loops). Further hydrogen bonds mediate the characteristic L-shaped molecular structure. tRNAs have two regions of fundamental functional importance: the anti-codon, which is responsible for specific mRNA codon recognition, and the 3' end, to which the tRNAs corresponding amino acid is attached (by aminoacyl-tRNA synthetases). tRNAs cope with the degeneracy of the genetic code in two manners: having more than one tRNA (with a specific anti-codon) for a particular amino acid; and 'wobble' base-pairing, i.e. permitting non-standard base-pairing at the 3rd anti-codon position.
Source: Rfam
GGCCGAUUAGCUCAGUUGGUUAGAGCGCCGUACUAAUACUCUUCGGGGUUGUUAUGCGGAUGUCAUGGGUUCGACCCCCAUAUUGACCA